RNAcentral lists this ribosomal RNA (487 nucleotides) under uncultured soil bacterium. RNAcentral describes it as "bacterial SSU rRNA". It matches the Rfam family "Bacterial small subunit ribosomal RNA", at positions 26 to 479 of the family's 1533-position model. The record is from RNAcentral.
AGAUUGAACGCUGGCGGCAUGCCUUACACAUGCAAGUCGAACGGCAGCACGGGAGCAAUCCUGGUGGCGAGUGGCGAACGGGUGAGUAAUACAUCGGAACGUGCCCAGUUGUGGGGGGAUAGCCCGGCGAAAGCCGGAUUAAUACCGCAUACGACCUACGGGUGAAAGCGGGGGAUCGCAAGACCUCGCGCUAUUGGAGCGGCCGAUGUCGGAUUAGCUUGUUGGUAGGGUAAAAGCCUACCAAGGCUACGAUCCGUAGCUGGUCUGAGAGGACGACCAGCCACACUGGGACUGAGACACGGCCCAGACUCCUACGGGAGGCAGCAGUGGGGAAUUUGGACAAUGGGCGAAAGCCUGAUCCAGCAUGCGCGUGCGGAAGAAGGCCUGGGUUGUAACGCUUUGUCGAGGAGAAACGGUCGAGCUAAUACCUUAGAACUAAUGACGUACCGUAGAAGAAUAAGACGAACCGGACUAACCUACGUAGACC